Long non-coding RNA from Mirounga angustirostris (Northern elephant seal), 497 nucleotides. RefSeq lists it as uncharacterized. The transcript is spliced from 2 exons. NCBI's taxonomy places the organism in Eukaryota, Metazoa, Chordata, Mammalia, Carnivora, Phocidae. The record is from RefSeq and is a predicted model, not a curated record.
CCCGCCCCCCUUUCCUCCCUCUUCCCUCUCCUCUUUUGUUGCCUCCACUCUCGGACACGACAGCCUGGGCUGUUUCUCCCCCUCCCACUUGGGAGUUUGCGGUGUGGACGUACAGCGAGCACAGAUCCACUUGGGACCGUACCCGCACUUAAUCUCUCUGGAAUGGGGUUAUGGAAUCAGCUGCUGUGAUUGAACUUUGCUGCCGGUCCGCGUGGUGGAGGCCCGGUGCCACUCACCAAAGCCCACUGUCCAGGAGUAUGAAAACACCCUCCCUAUCGCUGCUUUCCUCACUGUGCAGUUGGCCAGGGCCCUUUCAUCUCACUCUGCUGGAGAACCCCGCUAUCAAACUCGUCACUCUGCAGUCAAAUUUGAAAGUCUGUGAAAACGCAACCAAGAGAACAUCCUUCAGCCUGAAGGUUUGAGGCUCUCCCAGAAAGGACUCUGAAGCCAUUUUUUCGACAACAGAAGAAGGAACCUGUUUAUCCCAAGGUUGAACA